RNAcentral lists this ribosomal RNA (356 nucleotides) under uncultured bacterium. Its description in RNAcentral is "bacterial SSU rRNA". It matches the Rfam family "Bacterial small subunit ribosomal RNA", at positions 28 to 381 of the family's 1533-position model. The record is from RNAcentral.
GAUGAACGCUAGCGGCAGGCCUAACACAUGCAAGUCGAGGGGUAUAGGGAGCUUGCUUCCUAGAGACCGGCGCACGGGUGCGUAACGCGUAUGCAAUCUACCUUGUACAGGGGAAUAGCCCAGAGAAAUUUGGAUUAAUGCCCCAUAGUAUUAUUAAAUGGCAUCCUUUAAUAAUUAAAGUUCCAACGGUACAAGAUGAGCACGCGUCCUAUUAGUUAGUUGGUGUGGUAACGGCAUACCAAGACGAUGAUAGGUAGGGGUCCUGAGAGGGAGACCCCCCACACUGGUACUGAGACACGGACCAGACUCCUACGGGAGGGCAGCAGUGAGGGAAUAUUGGACGAAUGGGCGGCAAG